UACGUAGGGUGCAAGCGUUAAUCGGAAUUACUGGGCGUAAAGCGUGCGCAGGCGGUUGUGCAAGACAGGUGGGAAAUCCCCGGGCUUAACCUGGGAACUGCACUUGUGACUGCACAGCUGGAGUACGGCAGAGGGGGAUGGAAUUCCGCGUGUAGCAGUGAAAUGCGUAGAUAUCGGGAGGAACACCAGUGGCGAAGGCGACUUCCUGGCCUGUUCUUGACGCUGAGGCGCGAAAGCUAGGGGAGCAAACGGG
Molecule: ribosomal RNA, 253 nt
Filed under: uncultured bacterium
Lineage: Bacteria
Description: partial 16S ribosomal RNA
Rfam family: Bacterial small subunit ribosomal RNA
Source: RNAcentral